AUGCAGUCACUCCAUUUUUCAUUCAAGACACACAACACCGAAUUGCGCAUACGUUCCCUUGGCCUUGCUCUUGUGCUACUGAUCUCCUUGGCCUCUCCCACAAGUUCCUGCACGGAACAGGAGAAAACCUCAUUUCUCCGGUUCCUCGCUGGACUCUCAUGGGACGGUGGCCUUGCUGCCUCAUGGCGGAACAACACGGAUUGCUGCAAGUGGGAAGGGAUCACCUGCAGGCAAGAUAGCAUGGUCACCAAAGUCAUGGUGGCUUCAAGAGGUCUAGAGGGGCACAUCUCGGAGUCCCUUGGAAACCUCACUGGGCUGCAGUACCUUAACCUCUCUCACAACUCGCUGUCUGGUGGUCUGCCACUGGAAUUGGUGUCGUCCAACAGCAUCACCGUUCUUGAUGUCAGCUUUAACCAGCUCAACGGAACACUCCACGAGCUGCCAUCUUCAACCCCUGCAUGGCCUCUGCAGGUACUGAAUAUCUCAAGCAACCUAUUUGCAGGACAGUUCCCAUCCACCACAUGGAAAGCAAUGGAGAAUCUGAUAGCACUCAACGCAAGUAAUAACAGCUUUACAGGGCAGAUACCAACUCAUUUCUGUAGCAGCUCACCAUCCCUCGCCGUGCUAGAUCUGCGUUUAAACAAAUUCAGUGGCAACAUCCCCAAAGAACUUGGUGACUGCUCCAAGCUGAGAGAGCUCAGGGCCGGGUACAACAACAUCAGCGGACAAGUCCCAGAUGAACUCUUCAAUGCCACUUCGCUGGAAUGCCUCUCUUUUCCUAACAAUGAUUUAAAUGGACUUAUUGAUGGUGCGCACAUAACCAACCUCAGAAAUCUAGUAACACUUGAUCUUGGAGGGAACAACUUCAGUGGCAAGAUUCCAGAUUCCAUAGGCCAGCUCAAGAAAUUGGAGGAGUUCCAUUUGGACAACAACAAUUUGUCAGGGGAGCUGCCAUCAGCUCUAAGCAACUGCACAAAUCUUGCAGUACUUGUCCUCUCGAGCAACAAAUUCAGUGGACAGCUCACCAAGGUCAACUUCUCCAACCUGCCAAAUCUAAGGACAUUAGAUGUUUACUACAACAACUUCACCGGCACAGUUCCAGAAAGCAUAUACUCUUGCAGCAAUCUGACUGCACUGCGGGUAUCUACCAACAAAUUAGAUGGGCAGCUUUCACCAAGAAUAAGUGAUCUGAAGAGCCUCACCUUCCUAUCACUUUCUACAAACCGUUUCAGAAAUAUCACAAACGCACUUCAAAUCCUUAAGAGCUGCAGGAACCUUACCACUCUGCUUAUCGGCGAUAACUUCAAGCAAGAGUUCAUGACUGAGGAUGACAGAAUUGAUGGCUUCGAGAAGCUCCAGGUUUUGGACAUCGAAGAUUGCCAGUUGUCAGGAAAAAUACCUCUAUGGAUAUCAAGGCUCACAAAUUUGGAGAUGUUACUUUUGAAUAGAAAUCGACUCACUGGACCAAUACCAGGAUGGAUCAACUCCCUAAGCCAUCUCUUCUAUAUGGAUGUGUCAAACAACAGUCUUACAGGACAAAUCCCGUUAACCUUGACGGAGAUGCCAAUGCUAAAAUCAACUUACAGCACAACGCAUUGGAACCCAAGCGUCUUUGAGCUGACAGUUAAUAGUGGUCUAUCACUUCAAUACCGUACCAUUACAUCUUUCCCAAGUGUGCUGAAUCUAAGCAACAACAACUUAGCAGGUGUGAUUCCCCCACAGAUUGGUCAGUUGAAAAUGCUUGGUGCACUUGAUUUCAGUUUUAACAAGUUAUCCGGGCAGAUCCCACAAGCGAUUUGCAACCUCACAAACUUGCAGGUGUUAGACUUGUCCAACAACAAUCUUACAGGUGAUAUCCCAGCUGCAUUGAACAGCCUGCACUUCCUUUCAGCAUUCAGCAUUUCGAACAAUGACCUACAAGGGCCUAUUCCAUCUGGAGGCCAGUUUAAUACAUUUCAGAAUUCUAGUUUCGAUGGGAACCCAAAGCUAUGUGGCUCUGUUCUCACUCAAAAAUGCAAUUCAGCGGAAGAACAUCACAUUCUGUCAGCAAAACAAACUGACUACAAGGUAGCCUUUGUGGUUGCAUUCAGUGCAUUCUUUGGUGUAGGAGUGCUGUAUGAUCAGUUAGUCUUGUCAAGGUAUUUUGUCAAGUCCUAA
Molecule: ribosomal RNA, 2157 nt
Filed under: Triticum aestivum (bread wheat)
Lineage: Eukaryota; Viridiplantae; Streptophyta; Magnoliopsida; Poales; Poaceae
Description: partial small subunit ribosomal RNA
Source: RNAcentral